Molecule: small nuclear RNA, 107 nt
Organism: Mustela putorius furo (domestic ferret)
Lineage: Eukaryota; Metazoa; Chordata; Mammalia; Carnivora; Mustelidae
Source: Ensembl
GUGUUCACUUCAGCAGCACAUACACCAAAAUUGGAAUGGUACAGAGAACAUUAACAUGACCCAUGGGCAAGGAUGACACACAUUUUCCUAAAACAAAAGGGAGGUGA